AGCGAACGCUGGCGGCAGGCUUAACACAUGCAAGUCGAACGGGCAUCUUCGGAUGUCAGUGGCAGACGGGUGAGUACCACGUGGGAACUUACCCUUCGGUUCGGUAUAACUCAGCGAAACUUGACCUAAUACCGGAUACGCUCUUUUGGGGUAAGGUCUAUUGCCACAGGAUCGGCGCGCGUCUGAUUCGCUUGGUUGUCGGAUAACGGACUCCCAAGGCGAAUAUCAGUAUCUGGUCUGAGAGGAUGAUCAGCCACACUGGGACUGAGACACGGCGCAGACUCCUACGGGAGGCAGCAGGGGGGAAUAUUGAACAAUGGGCGCAAGACUGAUCCAGCCAGGCCGUGUGAGUGAUGUAGGCGUGAGGGUUGUAAAGCUCUGUUGACCGGGACGAUAAUGACGGUACCGGAAGAAUAAGCCCCGGCGAACUUCGU
RNAcentral lists this ribosomal RNA (434 nucleotides) under uncultured bacterium. Its description in RNAcentral is "partial 16S ribosomal RNA". It matches the Rfam family "Bacterial small subunit ribosomal RNA", at positions 29 to 506 of the family's 1533-position model. The record is from RNAcentral.